AGAUCAAUGUGAGCCUAACUGUCUGAGGAUUCCUAAAGAUUAUUUCCAGAUAGCAGUCAGAUGUCC
This is a small nucleolar RNA of Diceros bicornis minor, 66 nucleotides long. RefSeq annotates it as small nucleolar RNA SNORD109A. Lineage: Eukaryota; Metazoa; Chordata; Mammalia; Perissodactyla; Rhinocerotidae. The record is from RefSeq and is a predicted model, not a curated record. The transcript has a single exon.